This 127-nucleotide small RNA is filed under the name Marmota monax (woodchuck). The record is from RNAcentral. Lineage: Eukaryota; Metazoa; Chordata; Mammalia; Rodentia; Sciuridae.
GCUGGGCGAGGUGGCUCCUGCCUGUAAUCCCAGUGACUUGGGAAGCUGAGAUAGGAGGAUCAAAAGUUCAAGGUCAGCCUCAGCAAUUUAGUGAGGCCCUAAGUAAUUCAGUAAGACCCUCUCUCAA